UGUUUUAGACUGAAUCUUCCCGCCGGACGUUGUGUUAGAUUCUCCCAAACGACGAAUUGGCUUCCCGCUGGUUGAAUUGCUCUCAAUGUACAGUUCUAAAACAGUAAAAUUUGUAUUCUUAUCCCUUGUGGUUUAUGCAUUGAAGUUGUUCGAUGAAAUGCUCGAAUGAGAGUUAUGGUUCCAAAGAAUUGGUAUGAUGUUCUGUUAGGUGUGUGGAUAUUAUGAAUGCCUCCAGGGAAUUGAUAGAAGGGCUUGAGGAAUUGAACGUUGAGACUCCAGCGAAGUCAGGUGAUUGUCAUGAUGUAUGUAGACCUUUUGGGUUGUGUGUGAAUGUGUGAUGCAAGUUCCUCCAAAACGUAAAUGUUUUGAAGGGUUUAUACCAAAAUAUACUGAGACGUUGAAAAGAGGAAAUUGGAAUGGUGGUUUGUGUAAGGAGUAAGGUGUACCCAACUACAUUGUCAUUUUUCAGAGAAACUCUACUGGAAAAAAUGUAAAAAUGUCUUCCAUACAGUUUCCAACAUAAAGCCUCUUGACAUACAAAUUUUCAAGUUCCGUGAAAGCUGAAGAAUGCUACUAAAAUUGUUCUUGCUUGGCCUUUGCUUAUAUUAAUGUAAUAGGCUGCUUACUGUGGAACCAGGACCUAAUGGACUUAUGGACGCAGUGCAGUUUCCUGCAGAGGAGACCUUUUCAUUCGUCUUGCACAUUCUGCGCGAGGUACAGCUUAAAUAACACCAAAGAGCUACUUUGUUAUUUACAAAUCUUCAACUCCAUUGAAAUAGUUCUUUUCUGUAGCUGUAUGACUAUGACUCUUAAUGCUUAAUAUUUGUACUCUCAUAAAUUUCAGGUGUAAUGAGCUCAAGAAAACCAUUGCUGCUGGUGUUGUGAGCAUCUCUCUAUCUGUUCUAUUGGGUUCUACUGUGUUUGGUUUCUUGAGUGAAACAUUAUGGUAACGCCCUUAUGUCCUUACUAUAAUUUAAAUUUCAGCCUAUAUAUAUGUUCACUAAACGAUGCAUAAGGGAGUGAUCUGUAACCACAAUAUGUCUCACGUUUAGAUUUCUUAGAGCUGAGACCACUUUUAAGUUUUAAGCAUCACAAGUAAAUAACUCUUUAACAUUGUCUUAAAUUUCCUAAGCGGUUUGCUUGAAUCUUGCAAAUACCAGCUGAUAAUCCUAAAACUUUUUCUUUUUAGCCAUUGACAUUGUCAUUUCUUACAAAACACGAAUAUGUUUACACAGGGUGUUACAAUACGAAGAAGCCAAUGGUAGCGGAAUAUAGAAAUAUUGUAGGAUACAAGAGACAUAGAACACACAUGGGAUGAUGAUCAUCUCAGUGGAACUUGAGGCUGGUCAAGACGUUGUUGUUGACGGGAUCCGCCAAGUGAUCAAGCAGGUUCUGGUAAGGCCCGACUCCGGUCACUAGUCCCUGGAUGAAGUAACCGAGGAUGGCGAGCAUAGCCAGUCUACCGUUCUUGACCUCCUUGAGUUUCAACUCUUUCAUUGACUUCUCAUCUUUCCCAAACCCAAGAGGGUUGAAGAAAGGUCCACCGGGGUAUGAUGGGUCACCUGAACCGGCCAAACCCUUCUCUAACCCCAAGAAGUACUGUUUCCCCAUAGAUCCUGGGUUGUACCAGUCCUGUAACCUCCUGUGCUCAGCAAAUCCCAUCAGAGCCAUCUCAAGAACAAAGAGUGUGUAAUUGUCUGCCCA
Molecule: long non-coding RNA, 1704 nt
Filed under: Capsella grandiflora
Lineage: Eukaryota; Viridiplantae; Streptophyta; Magnoliopsida; Brassicales; Brassicaceae
Description: long non-coding RNA (CGRA_LNC001176)
Source: RNAcentral